This 107-nucleotide ribosomal RNA is filed under the name Alkalihalobacillus trypoxylicola. The record is from RNAcentral. Lineage: Bacteria; Bacillati; Bacillota; Bacilli; Caryophanales; Bacillaceae.
UCUGGUGGCGAUAGCGAAGAGGUCACACCCGUUCCCAUGCCGAACACGGCCGUUAAGCUCUUCAGCGCCAAUGGUAGUUCCCCUGCAAGAGUAGGACGUUGCCAGGC